CUAACACAUGCAAGUCGAGCGAAUUCUCUUCGGAGAAGAGCGGCGGACGCGGUGAGUAACGCGUGGGUAACCUGCCCUUUACACACGGAUAACAUACCGAAAGGUAUGCUAAUACGGGAUAAUAUAAGAAAUUCGCAUGUUUUUCUUAUCAAAGCUCCGGCGGUACAGGAUGGACCCGCGUCUGAUUAGCUAGUUGGUGAGGUAACGGCUCACCAAGGCGACGAUCAGUAGCCGACCUGAGAGGGUGAUCGGCCACAUUGGAACUGAGACACGGUCCAAACUCCUACGGGAGGCAGCAGUGGGGAAUAUUGCACAAUGGGCGAAAGCCUGAUGCAGCAACGCCGCGUGAGCGAUGAAGGCCUUCGGGUCGUAAAGCUCUGUCCUCAAGGAAGAUAAUGACGGUACUUGAGGAGGAAGCCCCGGCUAACUACGUGCCAGCAGCCGCGGUAAUACGUAGGGGGCUAGCGUUAUCCGGAUUUACUGGGCGUAAAGGGUGCGUAGGCGGUCUUUUAAGUCAGGAGUGAAAGGCUACGGCUCAACCGUAGUAAGCUCUUGAAACUGGAGGACUUGAGUGCAGGAGAGGAGAGUGGAAUUCCUAGUGUAGCGGUGAAAUGCG
RNAcentral lists this ribosomal RNA (616 nucleotides) under uncultured Clostridium sp. Its description in RNAcentral is "bacterial SSU rRNA". It matches the Rfam family "Bacterial small subunit ribosomal RNA", at positions 48 to 690 of the family's 1533-position model. The record is from RNAcentral. Lineage: Bacteria; Bacillati; Bacillota; Clostridia; Eubacteriales; Clostridiaceae.